This 253-nucleotide ribosomal RNA is filed under the name uncultured bacterium. Its description in RNAcentral is "partial 16S ribosomal RNA". It matches the Rfam family "Bacterial small subunit ribosomal RNA", at positions 524 to 776 of the family's 1533-position model. The record is from RNAcentral.
UACGUAGGGGGCAAGCGUUGUCCGGAAUCAUUGGGCGUAAAGAGCGCGUAGGCGGUCCGGUAAGUCCGCUGUGAAAGUCAAGGGCUCAACCCUUGAAUGCCGGUGGAUACUGUCGGGCUAGAGUCCGGAAGAGGCGAAUGGAAUUCCUGGUGUAGCGGUGAAAUGCGCAGAUAUCAGGAGGAACACCAAUGGCGAAGGCAGCUCGCUGGGACGGUACUGACGCUGAGGCGCGAAAGCGUGGGGAGCAAACAGG